GGGCCGGUAGCUCAGCCUGGGAAAACCCAAAUUCAGGUGUUUUGGGCAAUAGAGCACCUGACUUUUAAUCAGGUGGUCGCGAGUUCGAACCGCUCGGAUGAGCUGCGAUAGUCUCGUCCGGCCCA
This 125-nucleotide transfer RNA is filed under the name Candidatus Woesearchaeota archaeon. RNAcentral's name for it is "tRNA-Lys". Lineage: Archaea; Nanobdellati; Candidatus Woesearchaeota. The record is from RNAcentral.